AGACCCGAAACCCGGUGAUCUAGCCAUGGGCAGGUUGAAGGUUGGGUAACACUAACUGGAGGACCGAACCGACUAAUGUUGAAAAAUUAGCGGAUGACCUGUGGCUGGGGGUGAAAGGCCAAUCAAACCGGGAGAUAGCUGGUUCUCCCCGAAAGCUAUUUAGGUAGCGCCUCGUGAAUUCAUCUCCGGGGGUAGAGCACUGUUUCGGCUAGGGGGCCAUCCCGGCUUACCAACCCGAUGCAAACUGCGAAUACCGGAGAAUGUUAUCACGGGAGACACACGGCGGGUGCUAACGUCCGUCGUGAAGAGGGAAACAACCCAGACCGCCAGCUAAGGUCCCAAAGUCAUGGUUAAGUGGGAAACGAUGUGGGAAGGCCCAGACAGCCAGGAUGUUGGCUUAGAAGCAGCCAUCAUUUAAAGAAAGCGUAAUAGCUCACUGGUCGAGUCGGCCUGCGCGGAAGAUGUAACGGGGCUAAACCAUGCACCGAAGCUGCGGCAGCGAACGUAUCACCCAAGACAACUUUACGGAGUUGACGAUUGACGGAGCGAAGCGACGUCAAAGCGUUCAUUAAAGUCGAGUUGGCUUA
Molecule: ribosomal RNA, 587 nt
Filed under: Salmonella enterica subsp. enterica serovar Infantis
Lineage: Bacteria; Pseudomonadati; Pseudomonadota; Gammaproteobacteria; Enterobacterales; Enterobacteriaceae
Also listed under: 10 other names
Description: partial 23S ribosomal RNA
Rfam family: Bacterial large subunit ribosomal RNA
Source: RNAcentral